This 455-nucleotide ribosomal RNA is filed under the name uncultured bacterium. Its description in RNAcentral is "bacterial SSU rRNA". It matches the Rfam family "Bacterial small subunit ribosomal RNA", at positions 340 to 786 of the family's 1533-position model. The record is from RNAcentral.
UACGGAAGGCAGCAGUGGGGAAUAUUGCACAAUGGGCGAAAGCCUGAUGCAGCUAUGCCGCGUGUAUGAAGAAGGCCUUAGGGUUGUAAAGUACUUUCAUCGGGGAGGAAAAACAAAACUAAUAAUUUUAUUUCUUGACGUUACCCGAAAAAGAAGCACCGGCUAACUCCGUGCCAGCAGCCGCGGUAAUACGGAGGGUGCUAGCGUUAAUCAGAAUUACUGGGCGUAAAGAGCACGUAGGUGGUUUUUUUAAGUCAGAUGUGAAAUCCCUAGGCUUAACCUAGGAACUGCAUUUUGAAACUGAAAUACUAGAGUAUCGUAGAGGGAGGUAGAAUUCUAGGUGUAGCGGUGAAAUGCGUAGAUAUCUGGAGGAAUACCUGUGGCGAAAGCGGCCUCCUAAACGAAUACUGACACUGAGGGUGCGAAAGCGUGGGGAGCAAACAGGAUUAGAUACC